Molecule: ribosomal RNA, 461 nt
Filed under: uncultured bacterium
Lineage: Bacteria
Description: partial 16S ribosomal RNA
Rfam family: Bacterial small subunit ribosomal RNA
Source: RNAcentral
GAUGAACGCUGACAGAAUGCUUAACACAUGCGAGUCAUUGGCGAAGCUGCGCUUGCGCAGUCUAGCCAAGGCGGACGGGUGAGUAACGCGUAAGGAACUUGCCCUGCAGACAGGGAUAACAGACGGAAACGACUGAUAACACCUGGUAUUGUCAGGCUGGCGCAUGCCGGCCUGAUGAAAGGAGACGCUGCAGGAGAGCCUUGCGUCCUAUUAGCUAGUUGGUGGGGUAACGGCCCACCAAGGCGAUGAUAGGUAGCCGGCCUGAGAGGGUGAACGGCCACAAGGGACUGAGAUACGGCCCUUACUCCUACGGGAGGCAGCAGUGGGGAAUAUUGGACAAUGGGGGCAACCCUGAUCCAGCAAUUCUGUGUGCACGAAGAAGGUUUUCGGAUUGUAAAGUGCUUUCAGCAGGGAAGAAGAAAGUGACGGUACCUGCAGAAGAAGCGACGGCUAAAUACGUG